CCCUUCGCACACAUGACGCAGGGUCAGGACUGUAUGCAUAAGCAGGGUGUCUGCACGUCACUUCGCACACGAACUGGUGUCGCAUACUAUACGCGCGCCAUCUGCGCAACAGACUGCGCAGAUAAGCUUGUGCGCCUGGGGCCUGUGCACACGGCACAUAGUGCACCUAGGCCCAAUGCACGCACAAUAGCAGGCCUAUGCGCCUGUAUGCUAGACUGCAAUGCGCCGGCCGGGCAUUGCAAGCUCGGGCAGUGCACCGCUGAUAAAGGAAGCCUUCUUAUAUUAAAGAAUCAACAACAACAAUUAAAUUGGUGAAAAAUUGAUAAUGCCACAAUAGGCAGAAAAAAAAAAAAUAAUUUGGUUGUUGACAACUUAAAAGGUACAAGACAACAUUACGAGUGAAGCUGUCAUAAAUAUUGAAAUUUUUGGAAAGAAAAAUACACAGGAAUUUACGAUUAAAUCUUCAAAACAACAAAAAAGCUUCUUAGAACCUUGGCCUGCAAUGCUUUUCUUUUGGCAAAAAAAAAUCCAAAAUUGAUUUGCUCGUUAAAAAUAAGUAAUUCAAAUAAAUUCAACGAAUUCUAAAAUUUAGAUACUCGUAUGAAUUGAACAAAAUUAAAAUUUGAAUACAAAAUGAUUAUAACAAGGGCGAAAUCAUACUAGUGAAAGCAGGUAAUGAUGCAUAGAUUAGAUCUUCAGAUGAUUGCUUCCAUGUGUUAUCUCCUCUUGCAACUCCUCCUUUAGUCACGAUAUCUGCAAAUUAAUUUGUUUCUAAAAAAGUAUGAAGAAACUAGACUCGAUGCAAAGAAUUUGAGAAAUUGUGAAUUUUUUUCUCACUAAUUAAACACUGUCUAUUAUUAUCAUUCAAAGAAAAUAUUCAAGAAAUAACGAUUUAUCUAGUCACUUUCCACAAUUAAGAAAAAAUCCAUCAUAGCUAAUAGAUAAAAGAAUAUUAAUUCAUAUCAAUAUUGACACCUCAGAAAGAAGAGAAAACAUUUUAGAAUAAUAUCCACUUUAGAUGUAGUACUUGUGUUAUAGUCUAAUUUCGUAUCCUCAAUUUUUCAAUUUCUAUUAAAAAAUUAAAAUAAAUGGUAAAAUCAUGAAAAAAAUUAUCUCAAUUAAAAUUUUAAAAUCUUUAAAUAGGCCAAAUUAAAUCUUGGAACAAAACUUUUUAAAAGAAAAAAUUAAGGAAGUCAAACUUCGUUCUUAUUAUUUAAGUGCAAUAUAGUUUGUGCCUAUAGUUCUCUUCAAGGUUUAUUUCUAUACGAUUUUCAAGCCCAUUCAAACUUAAGCUACAUGAUGUUGUUGCUCGUAAAGAACAAAAGAAGAAAACCUAACUAAGGGAUAUAUGAACCUUUAGCUUAUAAGUUUCGAGAUAAAAAUUGAAUUUUUAUUGACUACUCAUGUAAAGAGAUUGAUGAUAUGGUAAGAGAAGACAAGAAAUACAAGGAAAUGGUGAUAUGACCAACGAUACACAAUGAAUUAAUAAAACAAAAUAUAACAUUGAUGGCAUCAUUUUGACAUAGUAAGUGAGGCUCUCACGACGAACAACAGCUAGAGAAAGGAAAUUUGAAUAAGCAACUAGAAUGGGGGUAAUUGGACUAUAGAGGGUGCAAACUAAGGUUAUGUAUGGAAGACAAGAUAAGAAAAAAAGAGAAACCAAAAUCCUUACAAAGAGCAAGAAAACAACAACGAGAGUAGCAAGGAGGAACUUAGCAACAAUAACCAAUAUAGGAAAUAACAUAUAUACCAAUUUGUACUGGUUAACAUAUAUUAACCAGAAAUCAUAAUUUAAACAAGAUGUCCUCUCGUGGUACAAUCUUAAAGCGGGUAAUAUUGAAAAAAUGAACAAGGAGUCUUAUCAUAAAGCAGGACAGAAGAAGAGAAUCACUGAACAACAAUCAAAUUAUCAAAUAAGCGGGAAGAUGGAGGAGAAAUUAAAUUAGUAGUUCUCUUUCAAGGACUUCAUUUUAGUGCAAUUAGGAGAAAAGGGACAGAGCUACCACGAAAUUAAACUUGAAAAAAAUGAACAGAGAAAUGCAAAACAAGUAAAAGAACUAAAGUAGUUCUUCAGUCUAUGAACUCAACUAUACUAAUCACUCGAAUCUAGAGCCAUAUAUAUUAAUUUCCUUAAGAUAACUUAUAACAAAGAACCAAAUUUGGAAUGAGCCAAAUCUAUAGCCACGGGAUUCAACUCCAAAAGGAAAAAGUACUCCCUAUAAAUGAGUAUACUUUCAUGGUGCAAAACCUAUUGGCUCUUCAUCUUGUUUCAUACUCGAAUAAUUUGUAAUCCCUCAAUUUGACCAUAAUCUGAACCCCAAUAUUGUCUUUGAUCAAUAACACAUAAGGCAUCCUCUACUAGAUUUGUAGUCAGUCUAUAUGCAAAAAUUCUCAAAUUAAAAUGAAUUAGAAAAAACAAAGGUGUUGAACCCAGACAGAUAUAAGCUCAAAUCUCCUACAUUUGAAGAGCUUGAAAGCUACACAGGGGCCAGAGCAGUAAAAGAACCCAAAAGAUUAGCAAACCAAAAACAGAGACAUAAAAAUGAAUCAAAACAAAAUAUAAAUUGGGGACAUGCUCCUCCAAUUGUUGUUGCUAAAGGAGAAGUAAUCGAUGAUCAAGUUAAUGAGUUUUCUCUUGUGGAGAUGUCAGAAAAGUAAAUCAAAUAUUUGAUCUUUAAUUCCAAAAAACUGGUACUCAAAUAAUGUAUAUAUGAAAUGAUAAAUAUGGUUUUAUCCCAUAGUUGAAUCUCUCUUAAUGAUGUAAAUUAAUAUAUGCUUAUUUUUAUUUUCUUUAUAUGUUACAAGAUUAUGCUUAAAUAAUGAAUUAUUGUUUACAAUGCACAAAUAAGGUUGAAGAACGGUCAUAUAUAAGUCUUGUAUUGCAUCUAAAGUUAUGUUCUAGUACAAAAUCUAAAAUUAGAUAUGUCAAAUAAAUAGACCAUCUCCUCAUGCUAGUAAUCAUGUGCGCUUAUUAAUCUUCUAUGUCAUCUAGGUAACUUUACACAAAAUAGUUAAAUAUUGUGUAAUCUAUUAAAUUGAAAAUUUCACAUAUAACCUUUGAUCCACUAACAGUUGGUGUGUUGUAUUUUACAUUUUGAUGCAUUUUAGAUCUUAUAGUUUACUAUAGAAUUGUCAAAAAAUAGAUAGGGAUUAAAUAAAUUUCUCGCCCCGACAGACAUUAAAUAAAACCAAACUAUAUACAUUCAUACCUAUUGUGUAUGAAAAUAUUGAAAGCUCUUAUAUUAAAGAAUCAACAACAACAAUUAAAUUGGUGAGAAACUGAAAACGUCACAAUAGACAGAAAACAUAAUAGAUUUAAUUGUUGACAGCUUAAAAGUUACAAGACAACAUUAAAAAUGAAGCUAUCAUAACAUAUAGAAAAUUUAGGCAAGAGAAAUACACAAGAUAUUUACUCGAUAAUUUAGGUAAUUUCCUACUUCCUGGGUUACUCUUCUAAUUCUUGAGGGCUUAGAGAGAAACACAAGAUCUUUAAGGAUCACUUCUUGAUUUUUUGUUUAUUUGAGACUGAUGGUUUUUCUUUCAUUUCUUUGGGCUAAGCAACAAGGUCCUUCUAAAGAUAUUUCUUUGUUUAUCUUACAUAAACAUGUCCUGCCUCAAUGUGUCUAAACAUGUCUUUCUCUGUGAUAGACAAACAGGUGGCAAAUGCAUGAACAUAUUUCAUUCGGGUAUACACACAUACACACGUAAACAUAUAAAUAUAUAUAUAUAGAGAGAGAGAGAGAUGACAAAGGUAGUCCUCUAAUAUAGGUAUUCAGAUCGUUUGGAAUUUCAAGAUAGGGGGAAAGAUGAACUGAGUGAGGAACUUCAUAGAUUGAGCAUUUAAACAAACUCCUUUUAUUUUUGCUUACAGAUCCAAACAGGUAGAUAAACUUCCAUUAAAGGUAAUUCCAGAUCAAACAGCCAAUUAACAUCACAAUAUCAUCAAUUUCCUUUAGACAUUUCACUAUUAUAAGAAUAGUGAUCUUUAGCACAAGAAAGCCUUCAACUAUAAAGCCAGUUUAUAUACAACUAGUAAAGCAUUCGUGACAAAAGAAAAGAUUACUUGAUAUCUUCUCUAAAAGUGCAAACACUUCUCUACUAGUUGGAAACUUUCAAAAAUAUCAUCUUACAACAAACAGGUUAAGGAAUAUUAACAUGAAGUCAUAAUUUAAGCAAGGCAACCUCUCGUGGUACAAUCUUAAAGCGGACAACGCUGAAAAAUUGAACAAACAGUUUUAUCACCAAGAAGGACAGAACAGGAGAAUCCUGGAACAACAAUCAAAAAAGCAAAUAGAAGGGAAGAUGGGGGUGAAAUUAACGUAGCAGUUCUUUCAAGAACUUUAGUUCAGUGAAAACAGGAGAAAAUGACAGAGUUGCCAUGAAAUUGAACCUGAAAAAUUUGAACAGAGACAUGCGAAACAAGCAAAAG
This 4429-nucleotide long non-coding RNA is filed under the name Carica papaya (papaya). Its description in RNAcentral is "long non-coding RNA (CPAP_LNC015742)". The record is from RNAcentral. Lineage: Eukaryota; Viridiplantae; Streptophyta; Magnoliopsida; Brassicales; Caricaceae.